UACGUAGGUGGCAAGCGUUAUCCGGAUUUAUUGGGCGUAAAGGGAACGCAGGCGGUCUUUUAAGUCUGAUGUGAAAGCCUUCGGCUUAACCGGAGUAGUGCAUUGGAAACUGGGAGACUUGAGUGCAGAAGAGGAGAGUGGAACUCCAUGUGUAGCGGUGAAAUGCGUAGAUAUCACGCAGAACUCCGAUUGCGAAGGCAGCUUACUAAGCCAUAACUGACACUGAAGCACGAAAGCGUGGGGAUCAAACAGG
RNAcentral lists this ribosomal RNA (253 nucleotides) under uncultured Lactobacillus sp. RNAcentral's name for it is "partial 16S ribosomal RNA". It matches the Rfam family "Bacterial small subunit ribosomal RNA", at positions 524 to 776 of the family's 1533-position model. Lineage: Bacteria; Bacillati; Bacillota; Bacilli; Lactobacillales; Lactobacillaceae. The record is from RNAcentral.